GGACACAAUCUAUAUCUGCAAAUGUAUACAUCUAUUCUUCAGGUCUUCGUAGUAUUCAGUCUUGUUCUUGCCCUGUGAUUGAGUCUUCAUGGCAAAGAAUGGAAAUAUGGACACUGUUUGAGCUUUUAGCAUUGUAGCAUGCAAAGGAGUGCUCAAUGGAACUGAGAAGCUGUCCUGUAAUAUUAAGCUAUGAAGAAACACUUAAAAUUUUGAGGAAGAAGACUAAGACCACAUUUGUACAUCAUGUGCAACAUGCACAAACAAGAAUGAGCUGCAUAAUUGCAGGAAAGCGAGGAGACAGUUCUAUAUCCACAGAUUUGGGGACUACAGCCAAAAGUGAUGCCAUCGCUGGCUUGUGGUCGGUAACUAU
Long non-coding RNA from Rhineura floridana, 370 nucleotides. RefSeq lists it as uncharacterized. The record is from RefSeq and is a predicted model, not a curated record. Lineage: Eukaryota; Metazoa; Chordata; Lepidosauria; Squamata; Rhineuridae. The transcript has 3 exons.